CUCACGCGAUUUCUGAAAAUUCUCCUUUCUUCAUCGUUUCAGCACCAUUCUUUCUUUAGUCAUUGUUCUACUCCGAAAACGGUCAUUCCGGCGAUAUCUCCACAACCACUUCUUAGUUCCGACGAUAUCUCGACAACCACUUCUCAAUUUCGGUUAUUAACAGGUUGGAAAUUGUUCACCCUAAUUUGAUUCACAUUUUUCCCAAUUUAAUUCAAUACCCCAAUUUUUUACAUCUUGUUUUGUUGUUGCGACUUUAAGAAUCCUUUUCAGCAUUUUGGGUGUUGUUAUGCUUGGAACCUUUAUAUACACUCUUGUCACUGAUGGUUCUCCUUUCCGUACAGCUAUUGACUCCGUAAGUUCUCAUGUUAGCAUGAACUGCGUGAAUGGAGCAUACAUUUUCUUCUUGUUAAAAGGAACAUUCCUCUCCCAUUAUAUGUACUUCUUUUAGUAGACAUAGAUUGUGGUGUGGACAAUAUUGAAUUUGAAAGUUGUGAUUUAUUAAGUGCUUUUCAUUCUUCAUUUUCCAAAUUAAAUUAUUCACCAAAGCAACACAUGUAUUUUCUGUGUGUCAUUCAAGUAUACAUUUGCAACUUUGUCAUGCUCAUCUGAGUAAGUUUCAGCACUGCUUCUGCUUGUGGGAGUCCCUUUUUGUUAAUGUUAAAGAGGAAUUAACUAGCUAGUUGUAAUGUAUGUACUUGUUGUUGCCUAAUUUUAUUAGAAAGGUUUUAUAAUUAGAGAUAGAGGGAGUAAAAUGCUUGAUUUCUGCUUGAUUUUUGUUAUACUGAUUCAAUAUCAUUCAAAAAAAAUAUUAACUACUUUUUGAAUUUAUGUGGAUUUAGGUUCAAUUUCCAGUGGAUAAGAUGAUGACAAUGUGAGAAAUGGUCAAACAUGGAUGCUUCUCAAGGAAAUUUAUAUGUCAGACAACAAACAGAGAAUACGAACUUGAAGAAUAAGAAAAAAAAAUAGAUUUUAUGUGCUACUGUGUUUGACAACAGUCCUAUGCAGAGUUGCAGUUUUUCAGUGAUGCCACUGCAGUUGCGGUUUGGUGUUGUGUUUGGGAGGCUUGCUAGCGUGUUUUGAAGUUGCUUCUGGAUAGCUUUUAUUGCUAUUUUGGUUUCUGUUAUGUUAAGGUAGCAGGUUUCCAGGGGUUUUUAUCGUUGAGUUUUGAUUUUGGUGGAGAGGCGCCCUUUAUUUUAAGGCCCUCCUUAAUUGUACUCUUUUUGCAACAUCAAAUGUAAUUUCUAUUUUGUGUAUUUGUGAUGUAAUUCACAUUUGUAUUGAUGUGAUUCACAUUUGCAUUGUAAAGCAAAUUAUAUACUAAAUGAAAUAA
This 1330-nucleotide long non-coding RNA is filed under the name Medicago truncatula (barrel medic). Its description in RNAcentral is "long non-coding RNA (MTRU_LNC008068)". The record is from RNAcentral. Lineage: Eukaryota; Viridiplantae; Streptophyta; Magnoliopsida; Fabales; Fabaceae.